Molecule: non-coding RNA, 99 nt
Organism: Acanthosepion pharaonis
Lineage: Eukaryota; Metazoa; Mollusca; Cephalopoda; Sepiida; Sepiidae
Source: the annotation of a GenBank genome assembly
UCAAAACAGCGGUUCUCGUUUGAUCACCAAAGUUAAGCAGUGUUGAGCCCGGUUAGUACUUCAAAUCGAAGACCACUUGCGAACACUACGUAUUGUAAG